This 277-nucleotide long non-coding RNA is filed under the name Setaria viridis. RNAcentral's name for it is "long non-coding RNA (SVIR_LNC010854)". Lineage: Eukaryota; Viridiplantae; Streptophyta; Magnoliopsida; Poales; Poaceae. The record is from RNAcentral.
GUAGUUUUCGGGUUUGUCAACAAGCAUGCUGUGAGACAUGGUCAAUCAUGAUGGGAUUUGCCCCUCUCUGAUUGAGAGUGAUAUCUCAGAGCCCCUCGAGUGAUCGGAUCCAGAAAUGCAUGGCCAUGCUACGUACGGUUAAGAGUUAACCUACAAAGGGAUUCUGAAUCACAGGAUCGAGAAAGAGCGGUCGGCUUGGAGCUAGACCAAAUAUCGUGAGGCAAAGGGAAUAGCAUGUGCAUGAUGUUGUGACGGUUCAUCUGAUAUGAUCUUCGUG